Long non-coding RNA from Lagopus leucura (white-tailed ptarmigan), 2526 nucleotides. RefSeq lists it as uncharacterized. The record is from RefSeq and is a predicted model, not a curated record. The transcript has 3 exons. NCBI's taxonomy places the organism in Eukaryota, Metazoa, Chordata, Aves, Galliformes, Phasianidae.
GAGCUGCAAACAAGUGAAAGCACAUAAAAAUCAGCUGUGACCUAACUGCAAGCAUGCAAAGAUCUUAUUUUUCUUUCUUGUUUUGUUCUCUGAAUAUUUGCAGGAAUUACUGCCUUUGCUAAUUAUAAGCCAUUUAUACCAGCUGUUUAUUUCACUGUAAUCAUGACCCCUAUAAUAUCCCAACAGGCUGCUCCAAAAGUGACAGAAUCACUGGCAUUCACUGCAUCCAGAGCACCAAGAGUGCCAACAGGUGAAUGGUUAUGAAGCAAGCCAGCUUCAGCAAUCUUCCUCAACUAAGGAAAGCCUGGCGGGAGGCGAAGACAUGGAAAUGAAGCUACAUGUUUAGGGAUCCAGCAGGACUCCCAGCGAGGUGCUGAAACUGCAAGUGCAGCUGGCAGAGCUGAAGCUGGAGCUCCAAGAAGCAGAUGGUGCACCAAGACCUGAGCGUACCAUGGCAACUGAGAGCAGCAGGUGGACCCUGAAGGAAGGUUAACAGAAAUCUGAUUCUUAACCCAUUACAGCUGUCUGGACUUCAAGUAAAAGCCACAGAUGAUCUGAGCUGAUAAUCGUUGGCAGCGUCCAGAAAAAGCCCGUUCGUCGCCGGGCGCUGUGUCCCGAUGCCUCCCGCUGCGACGAGCGCGGGCUGCGCGUCAUCCGCGGCAGAGAAUGUCCGGGCGGAGCGGAGGAGAAAGGAAAGCGGCGGCGAGGCUGCGCGAAGGGGUGCGGAGUGCCGCGGUCUGAGCAAGAGCUGCUCCGAGAAGGGAGCAAAGAGCGUUGAGGAGGUAUUUAUUUAUUUAGCUGUGAGAAACUGAGGAGGAGAGGACGGGCCCGGCGCUGAAGAGCUGUCAGCUGGGAGAGGCACGGAGGCGGCACCUCUGGGCUUUGUCCCUGCCGGGCACACGCUGCCGUGACGGCACUGCGGCUCUGCGUGCACCUGACGGUACGGGGAAUCCCAGCCCGAAUCACAGUGCCCUCCCACUAGAGGCGAGCUAAGGGAGUGAAGGUAAUCAGUGGGGCUUAAUGCCGAAGGAGCCUUUCUUACAGAGACCAGGGAUGCUGUCUGAGGCCUGGGAACACGCAGGUCUCAUGGCAGGUCCAGAUGUGCCAGCUGGGAAUUGCUCAGUGUAAAAGCAUGCUGUGCUGAGCCUUCGUGCUGCUUCCAGUAGCACAUCGGCUCGGUAAAGCUUGUAUCAACGUAGUGAUCCAGCAGCACUGCCAGAACUGCCACACACUUGGUGUACUGCAGGAGGAGACUUGUAGCUGUGGUGCUGAUGAAGCUCAUGUCCAAAAGCGGCAGUGCCUGUGGCCUAGGACAGGCUCUGUGAAGCUGUCCUAACAACACUAGCUGUGUGUUUGCUGCCUGUGAACAUUUCCUUAGCUGAGAAGAUAAAGCGGCAUGGCUUGGCACAGCUUCAGCAUGUAAGCAAAAAUUUGGCGUCUCAAUAUAGUAUCAAAUGAGUGAGAGGUUAAUGGGACCCCAGAAGCGUAAAUGUAUUUAAAUGUAUCCUCCAGAUGCUGAUUAAAACGAGGAUGAGCUUCUGAAAUUUGGACCAGCUUAGAGUAGUCAGCAUGUAAGUCUACAGUCAAAGGCAUUUCAGUAUAAGUGAAGUUGUUUGGGGUAUUAUAAUCACGAGUAAGAGCAAUGCUCAGAAUAGUCUCUAUUGUUUGGGUAUUUUAUGAUAACAAAAGUAGCCUGGAAAGAAGCAGUGCUGUAUUCAACAUAGCCAGGGAAUACUUUCAAUCCCCAGUGUUCAUUUUAACUCUUUAUGUUUUAUAUCUCAGAAGAAUUAAAUAUAAUUAUGAAUUUCUAUAAUGCUUUAUCUACAGUUCCUUCAUUCCCUUGUUCCAAUUUCUUUUUAAAAUGGAAAAGAUCCAGAGAUGGAGAAUCAGUAAGAUUGAAUGAGUGGAAAGAAUGGCGUACAAGAACAGAAUGUAAAUGUUAAUCUUGUUUAAGAUAAGGUUAACAGGAACAAAUUUACUUGAAAUAGUAUUCAGGUGGGGAACAUACACGGAACACUCAGUAACUCUCUGCCAGUGACAGUGAAUGUAAACUGAAUGGCUUUAAGUGAUGCCAGGGGAUACUUGCCUUGCUGAGCAAGGAAAUCAGCUUUCAAAGAAGUCAGCAUCACCUUUGUAAUGGGGAGGUGCUGUUUAUGUGUAUUCUCAUGGUGUUAUGUGCAUCAUUUUUCAGUGUAGCUGGCAGCCAGUUACUGAUUAGAUGCGGACAAGACACCCCAUAGGCUGGCUGCUGGUUCACUCUCAUGGUGGGCAUGAGAAUAAAUGACUUGGAUUUCGUCAUUUUUCAUGACCUAAGUCACGAGGCUCACACCAUACUUAUGGCUCCAAAUAUUUAUGCUGUGUAUAGAGCCCCUCCUAGAAUUCUCUUAGCAAAGAGAUACAUAGAUGAAGAGUCCAACGCACUGAUUUUCACAUCAGCAUUUUUCUCAUCAAGUCUCCAUUUUACAUUUUCAACAUAACUGUACCUUAAUUCAGUAUUAAAUCGCAUUUGGAAAUGCUGUUCCUUGA